Molecule: ribosomal RNA, 1190 nt
Filed under: metagenome
Description: SSU rRNA
Rfam family: Eukaryotic small subunit ribosomal RNA
Source: RNAcentral
CUGCCAGCAGCCGCGGUAAUUCCAGCUCCAAUAGCGUAUAUUAAAGUUGCUGCAGUUAAAAAGCUCGUAGUUGGAUCUGGGGCUUGAGGUCGCUGUCUAUCGUUUCGGCGAUGACGGUGAUGCUCAGCUCUGCUUGCCGGUGACUGUUGCGGUGUUCUUCACUGAGCGCUGUAGCAGCACGGCACGUUUACUUUGAAAAAAUUAGAGUGCUCAAAGCGUGCUUGUCGCUUGAAUAAUGUUGCAUGGAAUAAUGGAAUAGGACCUCGGUUCUAUUUUGUUGGUUUUCGGAGCUUGAGGUAAUGAUUAAGAGGGACGAACGGGGGCAUUCGUAUUGCGGUGUUAGAGGUGAAAUUCUUGGAUCGCCGCAAGACGGACUACUGCGAAAGCAUUUGCCAAGAACGCUUUCAUUAAUUAAGAACGAAAGUCAGAGGUUCGAAGACGAUCAGACACCGUCCUAGUUCUGACCAUAAACGAUGCCGACCAGCGAUCCGUAGUGGUUGCUUUAUGGACCCUACGGGCAGCCUCCGGGAAACCAAAGUAUUUGGGUUCCGGGGGAAGUAUGGUUGCAAAGCUGAAACUUAAAGGAAUUGACGGAAGGGCACACCAGGAGUGGAGCCUGCGGCUCAAUUUGACCCAACACGGGAAAACUCACCCGGUCCGGACACCGUAAGGAUUGACAGACUGAUAGCUCUUUCUUGAUUCGGUGGAUGGUGGUGCAAGGCCGUUCUUAGUUGGUGGAGUGAUUCGUCUGGUUAAUUCCGAUAACGAACGAGACUCUAGCCUGCUAAGUAGUGUUGCUAUUGUUAUAUGGUUGACACUUCUUAGAGGGACAAGUGGCAUUUAGCCACGCGAAAUUGAGCAAUAACAGGUCUGUGAUGCCCUUAGAUGUCCGGGGCCGCACGCGCGCUACACUGGAGAAGUCAGCGUGUGUUAUCCAAGUCCGAAAGGACUGGGUAAUCCGUUGAACCUUCUUCGUGCUUGGGACUGUGGCUUGGAACUAUUCCACACGAACGAGGAAUUCCUAGUAAUUGCAAGUCAUAAGCUUGCGUUGAUUACGUCCCUGCCCUUUGUACACACCGCCCGUCGCUACUACCGAUUGAAUGGUUUAGCAAGGUCCUCGGAUCGUGGCCGUAGGGGCACGCAAGUGUUUCUGCGGUUUGCGAGAAGACGACCAAACUUGAUCAUUUAGA